GAUGAACGCUAGCGACAGGCUUAACACAUGCAAGUCGAGGGGCAGCACGGGAGUAGCAAUACAACUGGUGGCGACCGGCGCACGGGUGAGUAACGCGUAUGCAACCCACCUAUCAGAGGGGAAUAACCCGGCGAAAGUCGGACUAAUACCGCAUAAAACAGGGGCACCGCAUGGUGAUAUUUGUUAAAGAAAUUCGCUGAUAGAUGGGCAUGCGUUCCAUUAGGUAGUUGGUGAGGUAACGGCUCACCAAGCCGACGAUGGAUAGGGGAACUGAGAGGUUGGUCCCCCACACUGGUACUGAGACACGGACCAGACUCCUACGGGAGGCAGCAGUGAGGAAUAUUGGUCAAUGGGCGGGAGCCUGAACCAGCCAAGUCGCGUGAAGGAAGAAGGAUCUAUGGUUCGUAAACUUCUUUUGCAGGGGAAUAAAGUGCAGGACGUGUCCUGUUUUGUAUGUACCCUGAGAAUAAGGAUCGGCUAACUCCGUGCCAGCAGCCGCGGU
Molecule: ribosomal RNA, 502 nt
Filed under: uncultured bacterium
Lineage: Bacteria
Description: bacterial SSU rRNA
Rfam family: Bacterial small subunit ribosomal RNA
Source: RNAcentral